RNAcentral lists this ribosomal RNA (651 nucleotides) under uncultured Actinomycetes bacterium. RNAcentral's name for it is "bacterial SSU rRNA". It matches the Rfam family "Bacterial small subunit ribosomal RNA", at positions 232 to 885 of the family's 1533-position model. Lineage: Bacteria; Bacillati; Actinomycetota; Actinomycetes. The record is from RNAcentral.
CGCGGCCUAUCAGCUUGUUGGUGGGGUAAUGGCCUACCAAAGGCGACGACGGGUAGCCGGCCUGAGAGGGUGACCGGCCACACUGGGACUGAGACACGGCCCAGACUCCUACGGGAGGCAGCAGUGGGGAAUAUUGCACAAUGGGCGCAAGCCUGAUGCAGCGACGCCGCGUGAGGGAUGACGGCCUUCGGGUUGUAAACCUCUUUCAGUAGGGAAGAAGCCCUUUUUGGGGGUGACGGUACUUGCAGAAGAAGCGCCGGCUAACUACGUGCCAGCAGCCGCGGUAAUACGUAGGGCGCAAGCGUUGUCCGGAAUUAUUGGGCGUAAAGAGCUCGUAGGCGGCUUGUCACGUCGGAUGUGAAAGCCCGAGGCUUAACCUCGGGUCUGCAUUCGAUACGGGCUAGCUAGAGUGUGGUAGGGGAGAUCGGAAUUCCUGGUGUAGCGGUGAAAUGCGCAGAUAUCAGGAGGAACACCGGUGGCGAAGGCGGAUCUCUGGGCCAUUACUGACGCUGAGGAGCGAAAGCGUGGGGAGCGAACAGGAUUAGAUACCCUGGUAGUCCACGCCGUAAACGUUGGGAACUAGGUGUUGGCGACAUUCCACGUCGUCGGUGCCGCAGCUAACGCAUUAAGUUCCCCGCCUGGGGAGUACGG